CAUUUAGUGGGGGACAACAUUCCGAAAGGAAUGCUAAUACCGCAUACGUCCUACGGGAGAAAGCAGGGGAUCUUCGGACCUUGCGCUAAAUGAUGAGCCUAAGUCGGAUUAGCUAGUUGGUGGGGUAAAGGCCUACCAAGGCGACGAUCUGUAGCGGGUCUGAGAGGAUGAUCCGCCACACUGGGACUGAGACACGGCCCAGACUCCUACGGGAGGCAGCAGUGGGGAAUAUUGGACAAUGGGCGCAAGCCUGAUCCAGCCAUGCCGCGUGUGUGAAGAAGGCCUUUUGGUUGUAAAGCACUUUAAGCGAGGAGGAGGCUCUCUUAGUUAAUACCUAAGAUGAGUGGACGUUACUCGCAGAAUAAGCACCGGCUAACUCUGUGCCAGCAGCCGCGGUAAU
RNAcentral lists this ribosomal RNA (400 nucleotides) under uncultured bacterium. RNAcentral describes it as "bacterial SSU rRNA". It matches the Rfam family "Bacterial small subunit ribosomal RNA", at positions 130 to 524 of the family's 1533-position model. The record is from RNAcentral.